Molecule: long non-coding RNA, 1161 nt
Organism: Pyrus x bretschneideri (Chinese white pear)
Lineage: Eukaryota; Viridiplantae; Streptophyta; Magnoliopsida; Rosales; Rosaceae
Exons: 3
Source: RefSeq, a predicted model, not a curated record
UACUUCUAAAGACACAAUUCUUUGUUCUUUAUUAUUUUUUUUCAAAAACUUGUGGCCCACAUCCAUCCAACACUCUCUUUUCCGCUUAACUCACCCACUUCUAUCCAACUCUCUCUCUCCCCCCUUAACCCACUGACACCCUUCGUAAUUAUCCCCACUAUCACUCCCCCUUAGCCCGCCCUCAACCAUCCAACUCUAUCUCUCUCUUCCCCUAACCCACGACACCCUUCGUAGAUCAUACUCCCCUCAACCCACCCACAUCCAUCCGUCUCUCUCUCUCUCUCUCUCUCUCUCUCUCUCUCUCCCUCUCCCCUUAACCCACACACAUCCUUCAUAUUUAUCUCUUUCAUAUUUCCUUAUUUUUAGUUCUGGCUCUUCCCUCUCUGUUCUCUCUAAAACGACCAAGCCGGACUCGCCGGCCAAGUUUCGGCCAAAACUGGGUCUCGACCCAAUAGAGAAAACUGAUCCUCUCAUAGUGAGCGUCCUAUCUAUAUUUGGUUAGUGGUUUUGUUUGGGAGAUUGAAUUCAAGCUGAACUGUAAGAAAGUGGUUCAAAUUCUUGGAUUUAGAUACGAGAAUGUAAUUGUGGUGGAGAAUAUAGAGAAGAUGGUAGGAUCUUAUCUUCCAGCAGAUAAGGGCAGUUUUUGGUUUUGGCAUUUAAGAUAUUUAAGUAGGGUUUCUCUUGCAAUUGUAGAAUUUGUUAAUUUUGGAAGCAUGAAUUAAAUGUUUGGGAUUAACUUACAAUGCUUCCUAUCAAAACCAAUUAAACCCAUUUUCUGAAUCUAAUGUUACAAUGUUGUGCACUCUCAUUGAUAAGCAGAUUUUCAUUAUGAUGAAUUUUCAGUCUUUCUCAAAAUCUCCAUAACUAAAAUUCAUGUGGCAUUCGGUGUGAAUUUUGUCGGAUUUGUCUCAUUGCAUUGUAUUGAUUUCUUGUAUUGUUACCAUGCCCGUCAAUUUUUCCUUUUUAUUCCUAACUAUUUUCACUUUCAAGGAAAAGAGGUUUCUUGUUUGAUGCCUUGCAGGAGAGUUGUGGUUUUGACAAUUGGGGCAAAUAAACGUCACUUAUGAAGUAUGUUUGUUACUUGUUUCAUUAUUAGCAAAUGAACAUAAAUUUAAUUUGUUAUCUUCAUUUAACUUCUUGAUGAUCACAUUAUGUUGAUAA